This 424-nucleotide ribosomal RNA is filed under the name uncultured bacterium. RNAcentral's name for it is "partial 16S ribosomal RNA". It matches the Rfam family "Bacterial small subunit ribosomal RNA", at positions 360 to 776 of the family's 1533-position model. The record is from RNAcentral.
AAUAUUGGACACUGGGCGCAAGCCUGUUCCAGCCAUGCCGUGUGUGUGAAUAAGGUCUUCGGAUUGUAAAUCACUUUACUUUGGGAGGAAGGGCAGUUAACGAAUCCUUAACUGUUUUGACGGUACCAAAAGAAUAAGCAUUGGCUAACUUCGUGCCAUCAGCUGCGGUAAUACGAAGGGUGCAAGCGUUAAUCGGAAUUACUGGGCGUAAAGAGCGCGUAGGUGGUUCGUUAAGUUGGAAGUGAAAGCCCCGGGCUCAACCUGGGAAUUGCUUUCAAAACUGGCGAGCUAGAGUACGGUAGAGGGUGGUGGAAUUUCCUGUGUAGCGGUGAAAUGCGUAGAUAUAGGAAGGAACAUCAGUGGCGAAGGCGACCACCUGGACUGAUACUGACACUGAGGUGCGAAAGCGUGGGGAGCAAACAGG